CCUACGGGUGGGCAGCAGUCGAGAAUCAUUCACAAUGGGGGAAACCCUGAUGGUGCGACGCCGCGUGGGGGAAUGAAUGUCUUCGGAUUGUAAACCCCUGUCAUGUGGGAGCAAAUUAAAUAGAUAGUACCACAAGAGGAAGAGACGGCUACCUCUGUGCCAGCAGCCGCGGUAAUACAGAGGUCUCAAGCGGUGUUCGGAAUCACUGGGCGUAAAGCGUGCGGAGGCUGUUUCGUAAGUCGGGUGGGAAAGGCGCGGGCUCAACCCACGGACGGCAGAUGAUACUGCUAGUCUGGAGAGAGGGAGAGGUAAGCGGAAUUCUCGGUGUAGGAGUAAAAUGCGUAGAUAUCGAGAGGAACACUCAGGGCGAAGGCGGGUUGCUGGACAAUAACUGACGCUGAGGCACGAAGGCGAGGGGAGCGAAAGGGAUUAGAUACCCUAGUAGUC
Molecule: ribosomal RNA, 447 nt
Filed under: uncultured bacterium
Lineage: Bacteria
Description: partial 16S ribosomal RNA
Rfam family: Bacterial small subunit ribosomal RNA
Source: RNAcentral